CACAAACGACUCUCGGCAACGGAUAUCUCGGCUCUCGCAUCGAUGAAGAACGUAGCGAAAUGCGAUACUUGGUGUGAAUUGCAGAAUCCCGUGAACCAUCGAGUCUUUGAACGCAAGUUGCGCCCAAAGCCAUUAGGCCRAGGGCACGCCUGCCUGGGCGUCACGCA
Molecule: ribosomal RNA, 167 nt
Filed under: Kallstroemia maxima
Lineage: Eukaryota; Viridiplantae; Streptophyta; Magnoliopsida; Zygophyllales; Zygophyllaceae
Also listed under: 2 other names
Description: 5.8S ribosomal RNA
Rfam family: 5.8S ribosomal RNA
About the family: 5.8S ribosomal RNA (5.8S rRNA) is a component of the large subunit of the eukaryotic ribosome. It is transcribed by RNA polymerase I as part of the 45S precursor that also contains 18S and 28S rRNA.
Source: RNAcentral